Molecule: ribosomal RNA, 453 nt
Filed under: uncultured bacterium
Lineage: Bacteria
Description: bacterial SSU rRNA
Rfam family: Bacterial small subunit ribosomal RNA
Source: RNAcentral
AGAGUUUGAUCAUGGCUACAGAACGAACGCUGGCGGCAUGCCUAACACAUGCAAGUCGAACGAAGCCUUCGGGCUUAGUGGCGCACGGGUGCGUAACGCGUGGGAAUCUGCCCCUCGGUUCGGAAUAACAGUUAGAAAUGACUGCUAAUACCGGAUGAUGACGAAAGUCCAAAGAUUUAUCGCCGAGGGAUGAGCCCGCGUAGGAUUAGCUUGUUGGUGGGGUAAUGGCCCACCAAGGCGACGAUCCUUAGCUGGUCUGAGAGGAUGAUCAGCCACACUGGGACUGAGACACGGCCCAGACUCCUACGGGAGGCAGCAGUGGGGAAUAUUGGACAAUGGGCGAAAGCCUGAUCCAGCAAUGCCGCGUGAGUGAUGAAGGCCUUAGGGUUGUAAAGCUCUUUACCAGGGAUGAUAAUGACAGUACCUGGAGAAUAAGCUCCGGCUAACUCCGUG